This 281-nucleotide long non-coding RNA is filed under the name Chinchilla lanigera (long-tailed chinchilla). Its description in RNAcentral is "lncRNA (ENSCLAG00000026388.1)". Lineage: Eukaryota; Metazoa; Chordata; Mammalia; Rodentia; Chinchillidae. The record is from RNAcentral.
GUAUCUUUGAUGGAGACGUUACCUGCUGCCAUGGGGCACUCUGGCUGCUUCUGGAGACGCCGGCACAUGGAGGACAGAAAUGAUCCACGUGGCUGCUGGCUGCUUCCAUGAAGAGGCUCCUUCUCCUUCCAGCAUCUCAGAUUUCCAAAUGCCGAGGUUGGGGGAGUGAAUUUGAGGGGUGACAGUAUCUUCUCCAAAAUCUUCUUCCACAGUAAACACUGCUAACUACCAACUCAUAAAACAUAUCAACUGAGUUUAUUACUUUUAACCAUCUUUCCAAU